UGGCUCUCGCAUCGAUGAAGAACGCAGCGAAAUGCGAUAAGUAAUGUGAAUUGCAGAAUUCAGUGAAUCAUCGAAUCUUUGAACGCACCUUGCGCCCCAUGGUAUUCCGUGGGGCAUGCCUGUUUGAGUGUCACGUGAAACCCUCACUCCUGUCUAGCCGCGAGGCUUGACCUGCAGUGGACUUGGACUGUGCCGGUCGCUCGGCUCGUCUUGAAAUUCAUUAGCUGUGCUGCGCGAUUUCGGCCGCCUGGUGUGAUAAAUAUCUACGCCAACAUGCGUCGUCGUCCGUCUGUGUGGCUCACAACCGUCGAAAGACAACACACUUAACGCUCUGGCCUCAAAUCAGGUAGGACUACCCGCUGA
This 363-nucleotide unclassified non-coding RNA is filed under the name uncultured fungus. RNAcentral's name for it is "partial contains 5.8S ribosomal RNA and internal transcribed spacer 2". The stretch from base 1 to 133 matches the Rfam family "5.8S ribosomal RNA", at positions 22 to 154 of the family's 154-position model. The record is from RNAcentral. Lineage: Eukaryota; Fungi.